Molecule: ribosomal RNA, 464 nt
Filed under: uncultured bacterium
Lineage: Bacteria
Description: bacterial SSU rRNA
Rfam family: Bacterial small subunit ribosomal RNA
Source: RNAcentral
CCUACGGGGGGCACCAGUGGGGAAUAUUGCACAAUGGGCGCAAGCCUGAUGCAGCCAUGCCGCGUGUGUGAAGAAGGCCUUCGGGUUGUAAAGCACUUUCAGCGGGGAGGAAGGCGUUAAGGUAAUAACCUUGGCGAUUGACGUUACCCGCAGAAGAAGCACCGGCUAACUCCGUGCCAGCAGCCGCGGUAAUACGGAGGGUGCAAGCGUCAAUCGGAAUUACUGGGCGUAAAGCGCACGCAGGCGGUCUGUCAAGUCGGAUGUGAAAUCCCCGGGCUCAACCUGGGAACUGCAUUCGAAACUGGCAGGCUAGAGUCUUGUAGAGGGGGGUAGAAUUCCAGGUGUAGCGGUGAAAUGCGUAGAGAUCUGGAGGAAUACCGGUGGCGAAGGCGGCCCCCUGGACAAAGACUGACGCUCAGGUGCGAAAGCGUGGGGAGCAAACAGGAUUAGAUACCCGUGUAGUC